Molecule: long non-coding RNA, 4280 nt
Organism: Callithrix jacchus (white-tufted-ear marmoset)
Lineage: Eukaryota; Metazoa; Chordata; Mammalia; Primates; Cebidae
Source: Ensembl
GAGAAAAAUAACAUUAGAUAAACACUGAAAAAGAAGGUCUUUGAAACUUUGAGUACUUAUUUCCAAUUAAAAAAAAAAUGUAAGUUGGGCACAGUGGCUUACAUCUGUAAUGGCAGCACUUUGGAAGGCUGAGGCAGGAGGAUCGCUUGAGCCCAGGAGUUCAAGACAAGCUUGGGCAACAUGGUGAAACCCUGUUGCUGCAAAAAUUUUAAAUGAGCCAAAUGUUAUAGUGUAUACCUGUGGUCCCAGCUACUGAGGAGGCUGAGAUGGGACAAUGAUCUUGGGAGGUCAAGGGUGCAGUGAGUUAUGAUUCACUGCAGUCCAGUCUGGGCAAUGGAGCAGGACACUGUCUCAAAAAAAAAAAAAAUGAGGCUGGGUACGGUGACUCACACCUGUAAUCCCAACAUUUUGGGAAGCUGAGGCAGGUGGAUCAUUUGAGGCCAGGAAUUUGAGACCAGCCUGGCCAACAUGAUGAAACCCAGUUUCUAUCAAAAAUACAAAAAUUAGCUGGGUGUGGUGGCCGGUGCCUAUAGUCCCAGCUACUUGGGAGACUGAGGCAGGAGAAUCACUUGAACCCAGGAGGCAGAGGUUGCAGUGAGCUGAGAUUGUGCCACUGCACUCCAGCCUGGGUAGUCUCAAAAAAAAAAAAAUGCAAUGUGCUACUAAAUUUUGCCUGCCUUUGUGACCAGGUAAAGCAUAGGUAUGACAUGAGCUCUGCAACUACAAUGGUCUUUCUAGGACUCACAGUGAGUGAUGCAAGGAGGAACAGCUAGCCAGGCUUUAUUUGGGGUAGCAUGCAACAGAUACAACAGUGCCACAGUUCAAGCCAUGCAGAACAGUGGUGAUGGAUGUGAUGCCAGGGACAUUUGUCCUGCUAUCCAGACCUCUCCAGCUGCCAGCCCUAUGAUUCCUGCCUGUUUUCCAAGUCUGGAUCUCCAUUUCCCAGCCAAUUCUUGGUAUAAUCACCAGUCACAGCAGCCUCAAACUUCUGGGCUCAAGCAAUCCUCCUAUCUCAGCCUCCCGAGUAGCUGCUGGGAAUACAAGCACAUGCCACCACGCCCAGGUGAUUUUUAAAAUUUUCUGUAGAGGCUGGGUUUUGCUUUGUAGCCCUGGAUGGUCUUGAACUCCUGCAAUCCUUAAGCAAUAUUCCCAGCGCAGCCUCCCAAAGUGCUAGGAUUACAGGCCUGAGCCACCAUGCGUGCAACCUCUCCCUACUCUUUAAUGUCAUCUACAUUCCUGGUCUUUCUCCCUCAUCCACUUGCCCAUACUGUUGUUUUGCUAUCCAAUCCAACUCCUGUCACAUGACUUCUCAGUUCCUUGACCUCCUUACCUCAAUGGUUAUUUCCUUCAUUCCACCUGAGCCAUUCCUCCUAAAAUCACACCUGGUUAUGACUGGGAACUGCUGUGGACCCAAAGGUGUGUGACUGGGGUCCCCAAGACAAGUUUUCUUUUUUUUUUUUUGAGAUGAGGUCUUGCUAGGUCACUCAGGCUGGAGUGCCAUGGUGCAAUCACAGCUCACUACAGCCUCGAUCUUCUUGGUUCAAGCAAUCCCCCCACCUCAGCCUCCCAAGUAGCUGGCACUACAAAAGAACACUACCAUACCUAGCUUGUUUUCAAAUUUUAUUUUUACAAACUGGGUCUUGCUAUGUUGUCCAGGCUGGUCUUGAAUUCCUGGACUCAAGUGAUCCUCCCGCCUUGGCCUCCCAAAGAGCUGAGAUUACAGGCAUGAGCUGGCCUCAUGCCUUGCUGGCCACAGCUUGUCAGCACGUUUUCUCAAAGGGACAUCUGUGCAGCAAACUUCAUGACUGUCACUAUCCACCUCUUACACUGCACAGAUCCACUUUUCCCUAUGUGUUUAGGGAACAACUCCUCCCAAAUUCCUGUGGACCUCUUUCCUGAAGGUAAACUUAGAAGAUGGGGGUUAGUGGAAAGAAAUACAGUCCCUGUUAGGGGAUGCAUAUUGUCACGGAGCUGCAACAGGUUUUCAUUCUCUUUCCUUCACUAUCCAUUCUAAACUUCUCUUAUCCACAGCCCCUCUUGACUGGUCUUAGAGGCUCUCCCGAAGGUGUAAUUAAAACUCUGAGGAGGCAUUUGAGAGCUUUCUAACUAUCACCUCUUCAGGCCAGGAUUGCUGAUGUGCCCACUCUCAAUUAAAACUGGGCAAGGAAGCAUCAAGAUGCACCCAAGUGUUCCACAUGUAUACUCCCAUGUCACUUGUGUAAAAGUAACCCACCUCCCCCUACUGAUUAGGUCAAUUAUCCCUGCCGAGAUGGUAAUUAUUCUUAUUUUUACUUUUAUUUAUUAAAAAAAAGAUUUUUUUCUGGCCUAAAAUGGGAAAAAAAAAUUUUUUUUUUUUUUUUUUUUUCAGAGAGGGUUCUCUCUACGUUGCCCAGGUUGGAGCGCAGUGGCUAUUUACAGGUGUGAUCCCACUACUGAUCAGCACAGGAGUUUUGACAUGCUCCGUUUCCGACCUGGGCCGGUUCAUUCCUUUUUGGCAACCUCGUGGUCCCCCGCUCCUGGGAGGUCACCAUACUGAUGCUGAACUUAGUGCGGACAUCCGAUCGGCAUAGCGCACUGCAGCCCAGAACUCCUGGGCUCAAGCAAUCCUCCCACCCACCUCAACCUCCCGAGUAGCUGGGACUACAGGCACACACCACCGCGCCCAGCACUUUUAUUUAUUUAUUUGUUUAUUUUGAGACGGAGUUUUGUUCUUGUCACCCAGGCUGGAGUGCAGUGGUGCGAUCUUGCCUCACUGCAACUUCUGCCUCCCAGUUUCGAACGAUUCUCCUGGCUCAGCCUCCUGAGUAGCUGGGAUUACUGACGUCCACCAACGUCCCUUGCUAAUGGUUUUUUGUUUUUUUUGAAGCAGAAUCUUGCUCUGAUGCCCAGGCUGGAGUGCAGUGGUGCAAUCUCGGGUCACUGAAACCUCCACCUCCUAGGUUCAAGCCAUUCUCCUGCCUCAGCCUCCUGAGUAGCUGGGAUUACAGGCACCUGCCACCAUGCCCAGCUAAUUUUUGUAUUUUUAGUACAGACAGCGUUUUACCAUGUUGGCCAGGAUGGUCUUGAUCUCUUGACCUUGUGAUAUGCCCACCUCAGCCUCCCAGAGUGCUGGGAAUACAGGCAUGAGCCACUGCAGCCAGCCUAAUUUUUGUAUUAUAGAAGACGGGGUUUCACCAUUUCGGCCAAGCUGAUCUGGUCUCGAACUCCUGACCUCAAGUGAUCCUCCUACCUCGGCCUUCCAGAGUGCUGGGAUUACAGGCGUGAACCACUGUGCCUGGCCUGAGGUGGUAACUCUACUUAUCUGCUGGUCCCUGGUCAUAAGGAGUUCAAAGUGCACUGGUGGUAGCAGUAGUUUAUCGUUCAGUGGGACCCUUGCUAUUUCCUCUGGCAAGCAAGUGGCCUUUUGGUGUAGUAGGACCUAUAAUCCUCCAGAGCCGAGCAUUACAGAAGCACAAAAUCCCCAGUAGGUCAUUGGGAGUGAGGGAAAAUGGAGCUGCUCCUGCUUUCACCUUCAUUUCCGGGACCCACAUAUUCUUAUUGAGAACACUGUGCUACAUGGACUCUGAUUUAAUGUUGACACUGCAUCUGGAAGGAUGGCAUCCUACCCUUACAGUGCACUGUCUCUAAGCUGUGCUUAAGCUGUGCCUUCGGUGGCCUUUCCGGUACUUCAUGAAGUUGAAUCGUGUGGUAGAUUCAAGGUGAUGCAUCUGGGAUUAUCUGUCAACUAUGCUCUCUGCAGCAGGUUCUCUUUGAGGGUCGUAUGAGUGGUGCACCUCCAUGGCUAACACGAUAUUCAAACUGUUAACUGAAUUUGUACCCAUGGAAAACACCUUUCAAAAAUUAUGUCAAAGUAAAGCCUUUUUCGAACUAACAAAAGCUGAGAGAAUUAAUUGACAGCAGACCUGCAUUACAAGAAAGGGUUUUUUAAAUUUAAAUUUGAGUUUUUUUAAGAGAUGGAGUCUCAUUCUGUCUCCCUGGCUGGAGUGCAGUGGUGCAAUCAUAGCUUGAACUCCUGGCCUGAAGCAAGUCUCCCGCCUCAGUCUCUUGGGUAGGGAUUACAGGUGUGAGCCACCACACCUGGCUAAUUUGUAAUCUGCACCUGCCAAGUUAACAAGAAAUGUGAAAGUGAUUUGAGCUGAAGUAUGAUACCUAACAGACAUUUAUAUAUCCAUAUAAACAAGAGCUCAAUGUAUGAUGGUAACACAAAGGUAACUGUAAUUAAAUACAUUUUUUUCUCAUUUUUAAGAGAAUUGAUGUCUAAACCAAAAUAGUAGGAAUAU